UACGUAGGGUACUAGCGUUGUCCGGAUUUAUUGGGCGUAAAGCGAGCGCAGGCGGUCUUUUAAGUCUAAUGUGAAAGCCUUCGGCUCAACCGAAGAAGUGCAUUGGAAACUGGGAGACUUGAGUGCAGAAGAGGACAGUGGAACUCCAUGUGUAGCGGUGAAAUGCGUAGAUAUAUGGAAGAACGCCAGUGGCGAAGGCGGCUGUCUGGUCUGUAACUGUCGCUGAGGCUCGAAAGCAUGGGUAGCGAACAGG
Molecule: ribosomal RNA, 253 nt
Filed under: uncultured bacterium
Lineage: Bacteria
Description: partial 16S ribosomal RNA
Rfam family: Bacterial small subunit ribosomal RNA
Source: RNAcentral